Oncorhynchus kisutch (coho salmon) is the source of this 945-nucleotide long non-coding RNA. NCBI's taxonomy places the organism in Eukaryota, Metazoa, Chordata, Actinopteri, Salmoniformes, Salmonidae. The record is from Ensembl.
UUAGUGUAUAAUAUAUAUCAGAUUAUACAAUAAUCCAAUUAAAUAAUCAUAUAUACUGCAUGUAUGUUUGUAUCAAUAUUUGACAUAGAUGCUGCAGUUAUUAAAGAAAAGGUGAAAUCAGCCCCUGUAAAGAAAGAAGCUGAAAUUCACAAAGAAAACGCCAAAGCAGCUUCAUCAAAGAAAGAGUCCAAGGAAACUAAGGAACAAGCCAAACCAGAGCCUUCAAAUGAAGGUACAGAUAGGAUGUUUUUUUCUGGCUUCAAAAUGUAUAAUGGCGCAAUUCUUGAGAUUCAUGUUGUGUCUUGUCCAAUGAUUUUUUUAGACAGUGAAGUUCCCAAAGAACAAACCAUAGCAGCUACAUCAAAGAAAGAUGCUGAAGCAAAAGAAAAGGCCAAAUUAGCUCCAGAAAAGAAAGAUGCUGCAGUUAUUAAAGAAAAGAUCAAAUCAGCUCCUGCAAAGAAAGAUGCUGAUGUUGUUAAAGAAAAGACGAGACCAGUUCCUGCAAAGAAAGUGAAAACUGUAAAAGACAAGACAAAACCAGCACUGGCUAAGAAAGAGGCUGAAGUUGGCAAAGAAAAGUCCAAACCAACACCUGCAAAGAAAGAACUUGUUGCACCACUGGGGAAAGCACGACCAAAAAUUGGAAUCAAAGAAUCUGAAGUCAUUCGCAGAAAUCACAGUCACAUAAAUUCUUCUCUUACAAAGGAGAGAGUUAAAGUUGUACUUGUAAAGAAAGAACCUGCUCUGAAAGAGAAGGCCAUGCCAGCCCCUGCAAAGAAAGAACGUGAGGCUCCCAACCAGAAGGACAAACCAGUAUCUCAAAAGAAAGGUACUGAUUCAAUUCAAGAACCUGAGGGUGUGAAAGAGAUGGACAAACCAGACCCUCUUAAGAAAGAGCCUGAUGCGCCAAAGGAGAAUGCCAGACCUGUGAAAAAAGGUAGGUAA